GGGCCCGCACAAGCGGUGGAGCAUGUGGUUUAAUUCGAUGAUACGCGAGGAACCUUACCAGGGCUUAAAUGUAGUAUGACCGGUCUAGAAAUAGACCUUCUCUUCGGAGCAGAUUACAAGGUGCUGCAUGGUUGUCGUCAGCUCGUGCCGUGAGGUGUUAGGUUAAGUCCUGCAACGAGCGCAACCCCUAUUCUUAGUUGCCAGCGGUUCGGCCGGGGACUCUAAGAAGACUGCCAGCGCAAGCUGAGAGGAAGGUGGGGAUGACGUCAAAUCAUCACGGCCCUUACGUCCUGGGCUACACACGUGCUACAAUGGUAGAGACAGAGGGCAGCCACCUGGUGACAGGGAGCGAAUCCUUAAACUCUAUCUCAGUUCGGAUCGGAGUCUGCAACUCGACUCCGUGAAGCUGGAAUC
This 414-nucleotide ribosomal RNA is filed under the name uncultured bacterium. RNAcentral describes it as "bacterial SSU rRNA". It matches the Rfam family "Bacterial small subunit ribosomal RNA", at positions 917 to 1333 of the family's 1533-position model. The record is from RNAcentral.